GCUCCCUGAUGUUAGCGGCGGACGGGUGAGUAACACGUGGGUAACCUGCCUGUAAGACUGGGAUAACUCCGGGAAACCGGGGCUAAUACCGGAUGGUUGUUUGAACCGCAUGGUUCAAACAUAAAAGGUGGCUUCGGCUACCACUUACAGAUGGACCCGCGGCGCAUUAGCUAGUUGGUGAGGUAAUGGCUCACCAAGGCAACGAUGCGUAGCCGACCUGAGAGGGUGAUCGGCCACACUGGGACUGAGACACGGCCCAGACUCCUACGGGAGGCAGCAGUAGGGAAUCUUCCGCAAUGGACGAAAGUCUGACGGAGCAACGCCGCGUGAGUGAUGAAGGUUUUCGGAUCGUAAAGCUCUGUUGUUAGGGAAGAACAAGUACCGUUCGAAUAGGGCGGUACCUUGACGGUACCUAACCAGAAAGCCACGGCUAACUACGUGCCAGCAGCCGCGGUAAUACGUAGGUGGCAAGCGUUGUCCGGAAUUAUUGGGCGUAAAGGGCUCGCAGGCGGUUUCUUAAGUCUGAUGUGAAAGCCCCCGGCUCAACCGGGGAGGGUCAUUGGAAACUGGGGAACUUGAGUGCAGAAGAGGAGAGUGGAAUUCCACGUGUAGCGGUGAAAUGCGUAGAGAUGUGGAGGAACACCAGUGGCGAAGGCGACUCUCUGGUCUGUAACUGACGCUGAGGAGCGAAAGCGUGGGGAGCGAACAGGAUUAGAUACCCNNGGGUAGUCCACGNCCGUAAACGAUGAGUGCUAAGUGUUAGGGGGGUUUCCGCCCCUUAGUGCUGCAGCUAACGCAUUAAGCACUCCGCCUGGGGAGUACGGUCGCAAGACUGAAACUNAAAGGAANUUGACGGGGCCCGCACAAGCGGNGGAGCAUGUGGUUUAAUUNCGAAGCAAC
RNAcentral lists this ribosomal RNA (900 nucleotides) under Bacillus tequilensis. RNAcentral describes it as "bacterial SSU rRNA". It matches the Rfam family "Bacterial small subunit ribosomal RNA", at positions 81 to 960 of the family's 1533-position model. Lineage: Bacteria; Bacillati; Bacillota; Bacilli; Caryophanales; Bacillaceae. The record is from RNAcentral.